Molecule: long non-coding RNA, 762 nt
Filed under: Cricetulus griseus (Chinese hamster)
Lineage: Eukaryota; Metazoa; Chordata; Mammalia; Rodentia; Cricetidae
Description: lncRNA (ENSCGRG00015042588.1)
Source: RNAcentral
GUAAAAUUGGCUGUCAGAGGGGCCAGACUUUGGCUUUGUCAAGAGUGGCAGGAGCAGGUCUCCAGAGGGAGCAAGAUGAGUUAGCAAAGCUCAAGUCUUAGGACCGUGUCUUUAAAGACUUAGUUUAGGGUUGCUGGAGGAUAGAGCGGAGGGGGCCAGAGCCUCUAUCCAAACAUUUAUUGAAUCACCUACUCUCUGCAAAGAAAUGUAAUGGAUUUUAAAGGAUAGCAGAGAAGAGCUAUUGAAGAGCAGGAGAGCUCUUGGUCUGGUUUCUGAGUCUUGGGGGCUUCUCGGGAUCCUGAGGCCCUUAGGGGUCUUUCAUUUGGCGAGCCAGCCAGGAGACUGAGGAGACCCCAGACUCAUUACCACAACGGAGAGGAGUUUAAACAUGUCUCAACAGAUUUCCACUUCUGGUAGAAGAAUAUCAGUUGCUGACUACAGCCUGCUCCUAAAGACUUCAAGCCCUAGACUUGCUGUGGAUGUGAACCAGUCCAGCUGAUAUGGACACCACCUAUCUCUGCAACAGAGUCUGCCACCCAGAAGCUCCUAAUGAAUUCCCUGUAGGGGAAGCUGUAGCCACGUCUACUUAGGGGCUGGCUACAGGUGCCUGACCACGCUUUCGAGGGCGUGGUCAGGGUGAUGUAGUGUGACUGUGUUUUCUCUUUCGCUCUCUCUUUUGGGCUUGUGUACAGACCGCUGCCACGCCGGCUGACUAUGUCACUCUGUAAGUGAGGCUUUUCCCUAUUAAAUACCCUUAUAUUU